AGUGAACGCUGGCGGUAGGCCUAACACAUGCAAGUCGAACGGCAGCACAGUAAGAGCUUGCUCUUACGGGUGGCGAGUGGCGGACGGGUGAGGAAUACAUCGGAAUCUACUUUUUCGGGGGGGAUAACGUAGGGAAACUUCCGCUAAUACCGCAUACGACCUACGGCUGAAAGCAGGGGAUCUUCGGACCUUUCGUGAUUGAAUGAGCCGAUGUCGGAUUAGCUAGUUGGCGGGGUAAAGGCCCACCAAGGCGACGAUCCGUAGCUGGUCUGAGGAUGAUCAGCCACACUGGAACUGAGACACGGUCCAGACUCCUACGGGAGGCAGCAGUGGGGAAUAUUGGACAAUGGGCGCAAGCCUGAUCCAGCCAUACCGCGUGGGUGAAGAAGGCCUUCGGGUUGUAAAGCCCUUUUGUUGGGAAAGAAAAGCAGCAGGUUAAUACCCCGCUGUUCUGACGGUACCCAAAGAAUAAGCACCGGCUAACUUCGUG
This 490-nucleotide ribosomal RNA is filed under the name uncultured bacterium. RNAcentral describes it as "partial 16S ribosomal RNA". It matches the Rfam family "Bacterial small subunit ribosomal RNA", at positions 29 to 507 of the family's 1533-position model. The record is from RNAcentral.